This 465-nucleotide ribosomal RNA is filed under the name uncultured bacterium. RNAcentral's name for it is "partial 16S ribosomal RNA". It matches the Rfam family "Bacterial small subunit ribosomal RNA", at positions 338 to 795 of the family's 1533-position model. The record is from RNAcentral.
CCUACGGGUGGCAGCAGUAGGGAAUCUUCCACAAUGGGCGAAAGCCUGAUGGAGCAACGCCGCGUGGGUGAAGAAGGUCUUCGGAUCGUAAAACCCUGUUGUUAGAGAAGAAAGUGCGUGAGAGUAACUGUUCACGUUUCGACGGUAUCUAACCAGAACGCCACGGCUAAAUACGUGCCCGCAGCCGCGGUAAUACGUAGGGGGCAAGCGUUAUCCGGAUUUGUUUGGCGUAAAGGGAACGCAGGCGGGCUUUUAAGGCUGAUGGGAAGGCCUUCGGCUUAACCGGAGUAGUGCAUUCGAAACUGGGAGACUUGAGUGCAGAAGAGGCGAGCGGAACGCCAUGUGUAGCGGUGAAAUGCGUAGAUAUAGGGAAGAACACCAGUGGCGAAAGCGGCGCUCUGGUCUGUAACUGACGCUGAGGUUCGAAAGCGUGGGGAGCAAACAGGAUUAGAUACCCUGGUAGUC